GUGAGACAGGUGCUGCAUGGCUGUCGUCAGCUCGUGUUGUGAAAUGUUGGGUUAAGUCCCGCAACGAGCGCAACCCUUAUCCUUUGUUGCCAGCGGUUAGGCCGGGAACUCAAAGGAGACUGCCAGUGAUAAACUGGAGGAAGGUGGGGAUGACGUCAAGUCAUCAUGGCCCUUACGACCAGGGCUACACACGUGCUACAAUGGCGCAUACAAAGAGAAGCGACCUCGC
Molecule: ribosomal RNA, 229 nt
Filed under: Salmonella enterica subsp. enterica serovar Heidelberg
Lineage: Bacteria; Pseudomonadati; Pseudomonadota; Gammaproteobacteria; Enterobacterales; Enterobacteriaceae
Also listed under: 8 other names
Description: partial 16S ribosomal RNA
Rfam family: Bacterial small subunit ribosomal RNA
Source: RNAcentral